This 253-nucleotide ribosomal RNA is filed under the name uncultured bacterium. RNAcentral describes it as "partial 16S ribosomal RNA". It matches the Rfam family "Bacterial small subunit ribosomal RNA", at positions 524 to 776 of the family's 1533-position model. The record is from RNAcentral.
GACGAACCGUGCUAACGUUAUUCGGAAUCACUGGGCUUAAAGGGCGCGUAGGCGGGCAGGCAAGUCGAAGGUGAAAUCCCACGGCUCAACCGUGGAAGCGCCCCCGAUACCGCCUGUCUGGAGGGAGAUAGGGGCGUGCGGAACUUCCGGUGGAGCGGUGAAAUGCGUAGAUAUCGGAAGGAACACCGGUGGCGAAAGCGGCGCGCUGGAUCUCUUCUGACGCUGAGGCGCGAAAGCCAGGGGAGCGAACGGG